GUGGUCGCUUCGGCAACACAUAUAUUAAACUGGACCGAUCGAGAAGAUUAGCAUGGAACCUGCGGAAGGAUGACACUCAGAUUCGUAAAGCGCUCCAUAUUUUA
Molecule: small nuclear RNA, 104 nt
Filed under: Leptobrachium leishanense (Leishan spiny toad)
Lineage: Eukaryota; Metazoa; Chordata; Amphibia; Anura; Megophryidae
Source: RNAcentral